AGAGUUUGAUCCUGGCUCAGGAUGAACGCUAGCUACAGGCUUAACACAUGCAAGUCGUGGGGCAGCAUGAGGUCAGCUUGCUGACUUUGAUGGCGACCGGCGCACGGGUGAGUAACGCGUAUCCAACCUGCCCUAUACUCAGGGACAGCCCGUCGAAAGGCGGAUUAAUACCUGAUGUUAUUGUUUGAAGGCAUCUGAUGACAAUCAAAGAUUUAUCGGUAUGGGAUGGGGAUGCGUCUGAUUAGCUUGUCGGCGGGGUAACGGCCCACCAAGGCGACGAUGCGUAGGGGUUCUGAGAGGAAGGUCCCCCACACUGGAACUGAGACACGGUCCAGACUCCUACGGGAGGCAGCAGUGAGGAAUAUUGGUCAAUGGGCGGAAGCCUGAACCAGCCAAGUCGCGUGAGGGAAGACGGCCCUACGGGUUGUAAACCUCUUUUGCCGGGGAGCAAGCCUGAGCACGCGUGCCCAGGCGGAGAGUACCCGGAGAAAAAGCAUCGGCUAACUCCGUGCCAGCAGCCGCGGUAAUACGGAGGAUGCGAGCGUUAUCCGGAUUUAUUGGGUUUAAAGGGUGCGCAGGCGGAAGAUUAAGCCGGCGGUAAAAAUUCCGGGCUCAACCCGGUCGAGCCGUCGGAACUGGUUUUCUAGAGUGGGCGAGAAGUAUGCGGAAUGCGUGGUGUAGCGGUGAAAUGCAUAGAUAUCACGCAGAACGCCGAUUGCGAAGGCAGCAUACCGGCGCCCUACUGACGCUGAGGCACGAAAGCGUGGGGAUCGAACAGGAUUAGAUACCCUGGUAGUCCACGCAGUAAACGAUGAGCGCUAACUGUCCGGGCAAAAUGAUGCCUGGGUGGUACAGAGAAAACGUUAAGCGCUCCACCUGGGGAGUACGCCGGCAACGGUGAAACUCAAAGGAAUAGACGGGGGCCCGCACAAGCGGAGGAACAUGUGGUUUAAUUAGAUGAUACGCGAGGAACUUUACCCGGGCUCAAACGCAGGAUGCAUGUCUCUGAAAGGAGGCAGUUCCUUGGAACAUCUUGGGAGGUGCUGCAUGGUUGUAGUCAGCUCGUGCCGUGAGGUGUCGGGUGAAGUGCCAUAAUGAGCGCAACCCCCAUGGCCAGUUGCUACAGGUAAUGCUGAGGAUUGUGGCGAGACUGCCGGGGCAAGCUGCGAGGAAGGCGGGGAGGAGGUCAAAUCAGCCAGGCCCAUAAGUCCGGGGCGACACUCGUGUUCCAACGGCAGGUACAGAGAGAAGCCAUCCCGCGAGGGAGA
RNAcentral lists this ribosomal RNA (1268 nucleotides) under uncultured bacterium. RNAcentral describes it as "bacterial SSU rRNA". It matches the Rfam family "Bacterial small subunit ribosomal RNA", at positions 8 to 1266 of the family's 1533-position model. The record is from RNAcentral.